Molecule: ribosomal RNA, 205 nt
Filed under: uncultured bacterium
Lineage: Bacteria
Description: partial 16S ribosomal RNA
Rfam family: Bacterial small subunit ribosomal RNA
Source: RNAcentral
UGCGUAGGCGGCGCGGUAAGUCGGGUGUGAAAUCUCGGAGCUUAACUCCGAAACUGCAUUCGAUACUGCCGUGCUUGAGGACUGGAGAGGAGACUGGAAUUUACGGUGUAGCGGUGAAAUGCGUAGAUAUCGUAAGGAAGACCAGUGGCGAAGGCGGGUCUCUGGACAGUUCCUGACGCUGAGGACGAAGGCCAGGGGAGCAAAC